Molecule: ribosomal RNA, 450 nt
Filed under: uncultured bacterium
Lineage: Bacteria
Description: bacterial SSU rRNA
Rfam family: Bacterial small subunit ribosomal RNA
Source: RNAcentral
UUGCCAGACUCCUACGGGAGGCAGUAGUGGGGGAUAUUGCACAAUGGGGGGAACCCUGAUGCAGCGACGCCGCGUGGGUGAAGAAGCGCCUCGGCGCGUAAAGCCCUGUCAGCAGGGAGGAAAAUGACGGUACCUGAAGAAGAAGCCCCGGCUAACUACGUGCCAGCAGCCGCGGUAAUACGUAGGGGGCAAGCGUUAUCCGGAUUUACUGGGUGUAAAGGGAGCGCAGGCGGCGCGUUAAGCCUGGUGUGAAAGCCCGCGGCCCAACCGCGGGACUGCAUUGGGAACUGGCGCGCUGGAGUGCCGGAGGGGUAGGCGGAAUUCCUAGUGUAGCGGUGAAAUGCGUAGAUAUUAGGAGGAACACCAGUGGCGAAGGCGGCUUACUGGACUGUAACUGACGUUGAGGCUCGAAAGCGUGGGGAGCAAACAGGAUUAGAUACCCGAGUAUCC